GGGUGAGUCCGAUGUUGGCAUGGUUCAAUCAAAUUGAGUCGCAAGCCAUCGGGGCGCGAUGUGAUUGCUUAACUCGGUCUGAUUGAGCCGUGCCAAUAUCGCAAGCUCCUUG
Molecule: microRNA precursor, 112 nt
Filed under: Hordeum vulgare
Lineage: Eukaryota; Viridiplantae; Streptophyta; Magnoliopsida; Poales; Poaceae
Also listed under: 1 other name
Source: RNAcentral